AGUGAACGCUGGCGGUAGGCCUAACACAUGCAAGUCGAACGGCAGCACAGUAAGAGCUUGCUCUUACGGGUGGCGAGUGGCGGACGGGUGAGGAAUACAUCGGAAUUUACUUUUUCGUGGGGGAUAACGUAGGGAAACUUACGCUAAUACCGCAUACGACCUAAGGGUGAAAGCAGGGGAUCUUCGGAUCUUGCGCGAUUGAAUGAGCCGAUGUCGGAUUAGCUAGUUGGCGGGGUAAAGGCCCACCAAGGCGACGAUCCGUAGCUGGUCUGAGAGGAUGAUCAGCCACACUGGAACUGAGACACGGUCCAGACUCCUACGGGAGGCAGCAGUGGGGAAUAUUGGACAAAGGGCGCAAGCCUGAUCCAGCCAUACCGCGUGUGUGAAGAAGGCCUUCGGGUUGUAAAGCCCUUUUGUUGGGAAAGAAAAGCAGCAGGUUAAUACCCCGCUGUUCUGACGGUACCCAAAGAAUAAGCACCGGCUAACUUCGUG
Molecule: ribosomal RNA, 492 nt
Filed under: uncultured bacterium
Lineage: Bacteria
Description: partial 16S ribosomal RNA
Rfam family: Bacterial small subunit ribosomal RNA
Source: RNAcentral